GCCGAAGUGGUGGAACUUGGUAGACACACCAUCUUGAGGGGGUGGCGGGCGAGAGCUCGUGCCGGUUCGAGUCCGGCCUUCGGCACCA
RNAcentral lists this transfer RNA (88 nucleotides) under Desulfomonile tiedjei. RNAcentral describes it as "tRNA-Leu". It matches the Rfam family "tRNA". From Rfam's summary of the family: Transfer RNA (tRNA) molecules are approximately 80 nucleotides in length. Their secondary structure includes four short double-helical elements and three loops (D, anti-codon, and T loops). RNAcentral also lists the same sequence under 6 other names. Lineage: Bacteria; Pseudomonadati; Thermodesulfobacteriota; Desulfomonilia; Desulfomonilales; Desulfomonilaceae. The record is from RNAcentral.